RNAcentral lists this ribosomal RNA (253 nucleotides) under uncultured bacterium. RNAcentral's name for it is "partial 16S ribosomal RNA". It matches the Rfam family "Bacterial small subunit ribosomal RNA", at positions 524 to 776 of the family's 1533-position model. The record is from RNAcentral.
UACAGAGGGGGCAAGCGUUGUUCGGAAUUACUGGGCGUAAAGGGCGCGUAGGCGGCCUUCUAAGUCGAACGUGAAAUCCCCGGGCUCAACCCGGGAACUGCGUCCGAUACUGGAAGGCUUGAAUCCGGGAGAGGGAUGCGGAAUUCCAGGUGUAGCGGUGAAAUGCGUUGAUAUCUGGAGGAACACCGGUGGCGAAGGCGGCAUCCUGGACCGGCAUUGACGCUGAGGCGCGAAAGCUAGGGGAGCAAACGGG